RNAcentral lists this ribosomal RNA (425 nucleotides) under uncultured bacterium. Its description in RNAcentral is "partial 16S ribosomal RNA". It matches the Rfam family "Bacterial small subunit ribosomal RNA", at positions 354 to 796 of the family's 1533-position model. The record is from RNAcentral.
GUUAGGAAUAUUGGACAAUGGGCGCAAGCCUGAUCCAGCCAUGCCGCGUGAGUGAUGAAGGCCUUCGGGUUGUAAAGCUCUUUAGCCGAUGAUUAUAAUGACUGUAGUCGGAAAAUAAGCCCCGGCUAACUUCGUGCCAGCAGCCGCGGUAAUACGAAGGGGGCGAGCGUUAUUCGGAAUCACUGGGCGUAAAGCGUGCGUAGGCGGUUUUGUAAGUUAGGAGUGAAAGCCCAGGGCUCAACCCUGGAAUUGCUCUUAAAACUACAAGGCUAGAAUGUCGGAGAGGAUAGCGGAAUUUCCAGUGUAGCAGUGAAAUGCGUAGAUAUUGGAAGGAACACCAGUGGCGUAAGCGGCUAUCUGGACGACUAUUGACGCUGAGGCACGAAAGCGUGGGGAUCAAACAGGAUUAGAAACCCCGGUAGUCC